The sequence is a transfer RNA, 72 nucleotides long. It matches the Rfam family "tRNA". Rfam says of the family: Transfer RNA (tRNA) molecules are approximately 80 nucleotides in length. Their secondary structure includes four short double-helical elements and three loops (D, anti-codon, and T loops). The record is from Rfam.
GCCUUUUUGGCCAAGUGGUAAGGCAUCGCACUCGUAAUGCGGGGAUCAUGGGUUCAAUUCCCAUAGGAGGCA